AUGGGUUCGAGCAGUUUUCCAGAACUCAUAAUCUCAUCGGAUGAGUAAUCAAGCUGAUGAGUAAUCGUGCUGAUGAGUAAUCGUGCUGAUGAGUAAUCGUGCUGAUGAGUAAUCAGGAGAUGAGGAAUCAGGAGAUGAAACGUGAUGCUCAUACACACCAGCCAUGACUGUGCUGUCCCAUUCAAAGUUCACGUGACCACAUUCACGACCACAGGGAUAACUGCACUGGGUCGUGUUUACGAUCUUUGCAGGAGUUACAGGCCGGGGGGUCGUGUCAACCUUGGUUUACGACAAACCUCCACACCAUGUCUGCCAAUUAAAUCGCGACGAGUCAGCAAAAAGCUGAUCAUACAGAAAGAGCAAAUGUAUAGAAAGAGCAAAUGUAUAGAAAGAGCAAAUGAUAAAGC
Molecule: unclassified non-coding RNA, 407 nt
Filed under: Yarrowia lipolytica
Lineage: Eukaryota; Fungi; Ascomycota; Dipodascomycetes; Dipodascales
Source: RNAcentral